CCUACGGGAGGCAGCAGUGAGGAAUAUUGGUCAAUGGGCGAGAGCCUGAACCAGCCAAGUCGCGUGAGGGAAGACGGUCCUAUGGAUUGUAAACCUCUUUUGCCGGGGAGCAAAAAGCGGUACGUGUACCGCAUCGAGAGUACCCGGAGAAAAAGCAUCGGCUAGCUCCGUGCCGCCAGCCGCGGUAAUACGGAGGAUGGGACCGUUAUCCGGAUGUAUUGGGUUAAAGGGGUGGGCAGGCGGCGAGUAAAGUCAGCGGUAAAAUUUCGGGGCUAAACCCCGACAAGCCGUUGAACCUGGCUUGCUAGAGUGUGCGAGAAGUAUGCGGAAUGCGUGGUGUAGCGGUGAAAUGCAUAGAUAUC
RNAcentral lists this ribosomal RNA (362 nucleotides) under uncultured bacterium. RNAcentral's name for it is "partial 16S ribosomal RNA". It matches the Rfam family "Bacterial small subunit ribosomal RNA", at positions 338 to 698 of the family's 1533-position model. The record is from RNAcentral.